This is a long non-coding RNA of Lycium barbarum (goji berry), 833 nucleotides long. RefSeq lists it as uncharacterized. NCBI's taxonomy places the organism in Eukaryota, Viridiplantae, Streptophyta, Magnoliopsida, Solanales, Solanaceae. The transcript is spliced from 5 exons. The record is from RefSeq and is a predicted model, not a curated record.
GAAAAAUGAAGAUUUAAAACCCCAUCAAAAUUUUCACGUUCUUAUUUUGUUCCCUCUCAUUCUUUUGGAGGGAAAUGAAAAUCUAAACUUUUAACUCCUUUCUCCAAAAAAAAAAAAGAAAGAUCCAGAACUAAACUUUUAACUCCUCAAGACUCCUCUUUAUGCCCUUCUUAUUCGGUCUAUAAUUCUUCCAAAAAGCUCAACCAAUCUUUUGGAAAUUUUUUAAGUAAAGUUGAAAUUAGCUUCUUGCUUGACGCUGAAUUCUGGCAAAAGGAUAUGUACUCCCUCUCUUUCUGUUAUAUGCUUGGUCAUACAUAUUUCACCAGAGAGAGUUCAACAGAAGGCAGCCCCAGAUUGUGUCAGUCUCGGAGAGAUUGUAGUUUGAUUCAAGACGAUAGGAAAAUAGAAAAGAUCAAGAAAGGGAGGCAACCACUACUGGAAGAGCAUCUGUUUAGGUUCAAGACUUUUGGAGACAGAGGAGGGUAGCACGAAUUCCAAAAUCAAUAUGUGAAACAGCGAGAAGUUCUGUAUUUUAUGCCCUCUUUGGCUUGUUGGGAGAUUGGAGAAUUGCUAUACUUUUGUGGUAGAUAUGCUGCAUGUUUUGAGCAGAGAUACACAAAGCAGAAGGUCAUGUUGUCUUUGGCUAGAGACCUGUUUUUUUCCACAACAACUACCAAAUGUUUGUGGUUCUCUUUCAAAGUUUUUGUUGUAUUUUAUGUUGAAGAUAGUUUUUCUCCAUUUUAAACAUGGAUUUCAUCUUUUGAAGACUAAUGGUUAUACAAGAUUCAUAUUGACGAUUUGUUUGGAUUUGAAUGGUAUUAAUCACUUUUUCU